GGAAUGCCUCCUCCAAAAUGCAACAAGAGGAAAAAGCAGACUUUCAAAAUUGAGCAUGGAGGAACUCUACACAGUGCAGCCAAAGGAGUUCUGGUGGUUGUAGUUGGAAGGGGAACAAAAAUGUUUACCAGUAUGCUGUCAGGGAUCAAGAGGCACAUUGUCACUGGAGAACUGGGAAAAGCUACUGAUACACUAGAUUCUACAGGGAAAGCAACAGAAGAAAAACCUUAUGAUACCGUAACACGAGACGACAUUGAAGGCAUUGUACCGAAAUUUACUGGGAAUGUAAUGCAACUACCCCCUCUCUAUUCUGCAUUAAAGAAGGAUGGACAGAGACUUUCAACUUUGAUGAAGAGAGGUGAAGCAGUAGAAACAAAACCUGCUAGGCCGGAUACUGUAUACAGUAUUUCCCUUCAAAAGUUCCAGCCACCAUUUUUCACAUUAAACGUUGAAUGUGGAGAAGGUUUUUAUAUCAUAAGCUUGGUCAGUGACAUUGACAAAGAACUCUCUUCUCCCAGAAAAGAUGGGACUUAAAAACCCCAAACCUUAGGAGUCAAGAAGAGAAAGAAGAAUCUAAAGAACAGGCUUUCAGCUGUGAAUAUAUAUCAUUAGAUGAAGUGAAGGGAGAGGAUGAUGUAAUUCAGACAUGUUAA
RNA transcript from Trichechus manatus latirostris (Florida manatee), 653 nucleotides. It is a transcript of the gene named probable tRNA pseudouridine synthase 1 pseudogene, with no coding region annotated. The transcript has a single exon. NCBI's taxonomy places the organism in Eukaryota, Metazoa, Chordata, Mammalia, Sirenia, Trichechidae. The record is from RefSeq and is a predicted model, not a curated record.